AUUAAGGUGAAAUAAGAUCUAAUGGCCGAUUUUACCUCUUAUUGUUAAAGUUUAUUCGUAAUUUGUGUGCAGAAUAAACUUUAUCUAUAACUCUGAAGGCGCUACGUCACACACUAUGUAGGCGCUUAAUGUGUCAUGGCCGACUACAUUAUUUCGAGCUAUUUAUUGUAAUAAAUACAAUUGUAAUCCUG
This is a long non-coding RNA of Melitaea cinxia (Glanville fritillary), 191 nucleotides long. RefSeq lists it as uncharacterized. The record is from RefSeq and is a predicted model, not a curated record. NCBI's taxonomy places the organism in Eukaryota, Metazoa, Arthropoda, Insecta, Lepidoptera, Nymphalidae. The transcript is spliced from 2 exons.